RNAcentral lists this ribosomal RNA (51 nucleotides) under Colletotrichum gloeosporioides. Its description in RNAcentral is "28S ribosomal RNA". Lineage: Eukaryota; Fungi; Ascomycota; Sordariomycetes; Glomerellales; Glomerellaceae. The record is from RNAcentral.
CAAAGGUUGACCUCGGAUCAGGUAGGAAUACCCGCUGAACUUAAGCAUAUC